Long non-coding RNA from Bubalus bubalis (water buffalo), 672 nucleotides. RefSeq lists it as uncharacterized. The transcript has 3 exons. The record is from RefSeq and is a predicted model, not a curated record. Lineage: Eukaryota; Metazoa; Chordata; Mammalia; Artiodactyla; Bovidae.
AGUUUUGUACCCUGAUUCCUACCCUUUUAUGUCUGCCUUUCUUAGGCCUUCAGCACACUCUGUCAAAAUUAAUUUGACACCAGGCUGGCUUUCUCUAGAAAGUCUGGGAAACUUCUAAGCACGAGAGCAAGAUUCAUGUGGGAAGAAUUACCACAGCCCUUUCCUUAGGGCAGUCCUGAGAUUAGAAUCCUCUGUCUCCAGUGACAAGCCACUAAAGAAAGAGGCCGUUUAUCAAGGCUCAGGGAUGCCCUCUUCAAACCACAGACUCUCAUCACCUCAAGAGCCUGCCUCUCUGUACACCUUUGCUCUGCUUGGAGAAGUUCUUCAUUUACUUCUGGAAUCAGCUGCUGGAUCUGUGCCAGCGCACCUCACCUUCUGGUCCAGGAACCGCAAGGCACAAGGAGCCUGCCAAGCUGGGAAGACAUCACAGAACUCAGUCCUGGUCGCCCGUCUGCUGCCAGAUUUCUUAGUAAGGAAGAUAGUUUCUGCCCAGACAGCAACAUAAUCUUUCCCCCAGUCCCUGGCACAGAGACUGGGCCACCGUUGUCAACCUGCUGUGAGAACACAUUUAAUAUAUGCUGUGUCACUGGUGAAUCCUUGCUGAAUCCUGUUGGGCUCUGAGAGAGCACAGAACGCCAGCAUCUGUGCAUGGGCAAAGGGGCAGGUCUAAGU